Pipistrellus kuhlii (Kuhl's pipistrelle) is the source of this 154-nucleotide long non-coding RNA. RefSeq lists it as uncharacterized. The transcript has 3 exons. The record is from RefSeq and is a predicted model, not a curated record. NCBI's taxonomy places the organism in Eukaryota, Metazoa, Chordata, Mammalia, Chiroptera, Vespertilionidae.
AGCCCGAAGUCGUCCCCGGUGACGAUGUUCAGGCCGGCGUGGGUGACGCACGCGCAGUUCACGUCGGCCUUGUCCGCGUUCCGCGGCCAGAUGCCAAUGACCUCGUCUCCCAGGAUGCUGUUCCAGAAGGAAGGGCAGUUAGAAAGAAGGAAGG